GUUUGAAACAUUUCAUGAGCAAAAUGGCAAAACUUGUCCAAGACUAAAGUUAAAAAAUCUAUGAAAAUGAUCUUCAUCCUGCUAGUGGCUGCAGGACCUUCAGCAGUAGAGGAAAUGGAGGAAAGGUGUAAAGAAGGUCUUUGUACAGGGGAGAAGAAGAGCAUCACCAGAGAGUGCUAUCCCAUCUCUGCCCUGGAGCAGUAGCAUAGACAUUUCUUGUUCUGGUAAAUGGCAAACAGUUCAUAACGAUGCUGAAGUUGGUAUUGCGCUGAGUACAGCCUAUGCUGGGAUUAGGGACUAAAACGUCUCUUUUGCCCGAGUGUAUAGAUUCCCAGCAACCUGAGGGUAGCACUGGAAUCCUUUAGGGUAUGAAGGGAGGCAUCAGUCUUUUCAGCGAAGAGCUUUGCGCCCUCAGAAAGAAGAUGUUCCACCAUGGACUCCAUCUCUUUCAGGGAAUCCUGACAAGUGGAGCCAUGAUGCCCAUCACAUCACCACCACCAUGGAGAUGGA
Molecule: long non-coding RNA, 510 nt
Organism: Mauremys reevesii (Reeves's turtle)
Lineage: Eukaryota; Metazoa; Chordata; Testudines; Geoemydidae
Exons: 3
Source: RefSeq, a predicted model, not a curated record